CUACGGGGGGCUGCAGUGAGGAAUAUUGGUCAAUGGGCGAAAGCCUGAACCAGCCAUGCCGCGUGAAGGAUGACGGCCCUAUGGGUUGUAAACUUCUUUUAUACGGGAAGAAACACCUCUACGUGUAGAGGUUUGACGGUACCGUACGAAUAAGCAUCGGCUAACUCCGUGCCAGCAGCCGCGGUAAUACGGAGGAUGCAAGCGUUAUCCGGAUUUAUUGGGUUUAAAGGGUACGGAGGCGGAAACUUAAGUCAGUAGUGAAAUCCCGCAGCUUAACUGUGGAACUGUUAUUGAUACUGGGUUUCUUGAAUAUUGUUGAGGUAGGCGGAAUAAGUAAUGUAGCGGUGAAAUGCUUAGAUAUUACUAAGAACACCGAUUGCGAAGGCAGCUUACUAAGCAAUUAUUGACGCUGAGGUACGAAAGCGUGGGGAGCGAACAGGAUUAGAUACCCGGGUAGUC
RNAcentral lists this ribosomal RNA (459 nucleotides) under uncultured bacterium. RNAcentral's name for it is "partial 16S ribosomal RNA". It matches the Rfam family "Bacterial small subunit ribosomal RNA", at positions 339 to 795 of the family's 1533-position model. The record is from RNAcentral.